Molecule: ribosomal RNA, 379 nt
Filed under: uncultured bacterium
Lineage: Bacteria
Description: bacterial SSU rRNA
Rfam family: Bacterial small subunit ribosomal RNA
Source: RNAcentral
GACGAACGCUGGCGGCGUGCUUAACACAUGCAAGUCGAACGGUAAGGCCCUUCGGGGUACACGAGUGGCGAACGGGUGAGUAACACGUGGUGAUCUGCCCUGCACUUCGGGAUAAGCCUGGGAAACUGGGUCUAAUACCGGAUAGGACCAUGGACUUCACGGUUUGUGGUGGAAAGCUUUUGCGGUGUGGGAUGGGCCCGCGGCCUAUCAGCUUGUUGGUGGGGUAAUGGCCUACCAAGGCGACGACGGGUAGCCGGCCUGAGAGGGUGUCCGGCCACACUGGGACUGAGAUACGGCCCAGACUCCUACGGGAGGCAGCAGUGGGGAAUAUUGCACAAUGGGCGCAAGCCUGAUGCAGCGACGCCGCGUGAGGGAUGAC